This 731-nucleotide ribosomal RNA is filed under the name uncultured bacterium. RNAcentral describes it as "bacterial SSU rRNA". It matches the Rfam family "Bacterial small subunit ribosomal RNA", at positions 67 to 805 of the family's 1533-position model. The record is from RNAcentral.
UUACCUUGAUUCCUUCGGGUUGAUUGGUACUGUGACUGAGUGGCGGACGGGUGAGUAACGCGUGGGUAACCUGCCCCAUACAGGGGGAUAACAGAUAGAAAUGUCUGCUAAUACCGCAUAAGACCACAGCACCGCAUGGUGCAGGGGCAAAAACUCCGGUGGUAUGGGAUGGACCCGCGUCUGAUUAGCUGGUUGGCGGGGUAACGGCCCACCAAGGCAACGAUCAGUAGCCGACCUGAGAGGGUGACCGGCCACAUUGGGACUGAGACACGGCCCAAACUCCUACGGGAGGCAGCAGUGGGGAAUAUUGCACAAUGGGGGAAACCCUGAUGCAGCGACGCCGCGUGAAGGAUGAAGUAUUUCGGUAUGUAAACUUCUAUCAGCAGGGAAGAAAAUGACGGUACCUGACUAAGAAGCCCCGGCUAACUACGUGCCAGCAGCCGCGGUAAUACGUAGGGGGCAAGCGUUAUCCGGAUUUACUGGGUGUAAAGGGAGCGUAGACGGCAUGGCAAGUCUGAUGUGAAAACCCGGGGCUCAACCGCGGGACUGCAUUGGAAACUGUCGGGCUAGAGUGUCGGAGAGGCAAGUGGAAUUCCUAGUGUAGCGGUGAAAUGCGUAGAUAUUAGGAGGAACACCAGUGGCGAAGGCGGCUUGCUGGACGAUGACUGACGUUGAGGCUCGAAAGCGUGGGGAGCAAACAGGAUUAGAUACCCUGGUAGUCCACGCCGUAA